Molecule: long non-coding RNA, 176 nt
Organism: Oreochromis aureus
Lineage: Eukaryota; Metazoa; Chordata; Actinopteri; Cichliformes; Cichlidae
Exons: 3
Source: RefSeq, a predicted model, not a curated record
AGAGUGGGCGGCCCUGUCAGCUGCAAACUGGAAGGGGAUGUUGCUGUUGGAGAAGGGGUGAAGAGAUUCUUCUUCUCAAAGGCAGUUUCUCUAGUACAGUCUGGUUUGCAUUUGAAUUUUGGGAACACAGAUCUUACAAGACUGUUUGACGGUGAGCCAGAACACUUGACUCCACC